GAACCUGUAACACAUGACCAACCAGAGUACAUCAGCUAUGGCAGACACAGACGCCUCAGAUUCCCCCACAUUCAGUCCAAGAGGACUCCUGCUUCUCUGAGCAUUGUUCCCAGCUCCUUCAGAAAGCCUUCUGACCACUCCAGCCUCCCUUACCUCCAUCACCACAUAUAUCUUACUGCACCACUCAGACCUGAUUCUCCUCAACCUCCCCUGUCACCAGCUUAGGACACUCUACCCACUUCUAUUAAUGGACAAUUUCUCAGCCUCUGCUUGCUUUCUUCCAGAAAUGGGGAAGAUCCCUUCCUUAAAGUCUCACUUCUUUGUAUAUUUUAUUUGUUUUAUUUUGUUUUCUCAAGGCAGGCUCUCACCACGUACCUCUGGCUGUCCUGGAACUCACUCUGUAGACCAGGCUGGCCUCUAAACUCAGAGAUCUGCCUGCCUCUGCCUCCUGAGUGCUGAGAUUAAAGGUGUGUGCCGCUGCACCAGGCUCUCUGCAUUUUAGGGGUUCUACUACAGACUGAAUAGCUCCCCUGCAGUGUCUCUUCCUGGAGUUCAGUCUCAAGCACCUGCCCCCAAAGCCAAGAGAUGGCUGGCAGAGAUGGCUGGCUGAGGCCCUGAACCUCAGCUCCCACCCAGCGGCCCCGCUUCUGCUGCUGGCUCCUACCUGCAUCCAGCUGGUGUCCAUUCUCCAUGAUGCAUGAGUUUGAAGUUCGUCUCGCCUCGAGGUCACUGACUUCAUCAUGUUCCAUGCUCUGCGGGGGCACCAACACUACUGAACCCGGUCGGUGGGAGCCAGAUGCCCAUCCCAAGGUCCCAUCAGCUGCCCACCCUAAAGGCACUUCCCCAAAUCCCUACUGGUUCUGGAGGCAAAAACUUCACUCUUUUGGGGAAGAAAGGAUCACACAGAAGGUACAAUGGUUCCACAGGUCUAGACAAGGGCCUCAAAGGGCAAACUGAUGGUGAAAUCAUUUUCCCAGGAAUGUAAGUAUCUACAACACACACCCCAGAUACCUGGCCCUGCACAUUAGUCUCUACCCACCACAGUACCCCAGGGGACUGGCAGAAGUAGGUCCUACACCUCAGGACUGGCCAGAUUCCUAAGGGGUCUCUACAAAGCGGAGGGUCAGGGAUAGAGCUGAACCAGGACUCCCAGGUUCCCCUGCCUCUGACUCCUCCAGCCCCAAACUGCAACCACUUCUGGCCUGGAAAAGGGGCUCGCCUAUGUUUCAGGCCAAGGGGCUAUUCUAAAAUGACCUUUAACCUAUCACUAAACAGAGAGGGAAUGGAGCCUGGUGUAGUAAAAGGAGGUUCUCAAACUUAAACAAUGGCUGAAGACUGUGAUCAAGUUCACAUUGGAGGCCAGGGCUCUCUUCAUGACAUCCAGGGCUCUGCCCACAAAGCCCCUUGUCCCUGCAGAGGAGAACUCAUAGCAAGUGUUCUAGCCCAGGGGAUAAGCCCCACUGCGUGCAGCUCAACCAGAUGGCAGGAAGGAACAGCAUAAAGCCUGGGAUGAACGCCCAGUGGGACCUUCCCAGAUGGCAAAGCCACCAAAGGAAAGGCUGAGACCAGCCGAGCUGGAGCAAGAUCUUGUCCUAAGCCCUUGCCCACCCGAGGCUGCCGAUCCAUUCCCCAGGGAGCCACCAUCUUCCUUAUGGCUGGGGAGCCCACUCUGUGCUUGCAUCAGGGCAGAAAUCACAGUAGCGCCCCAGGGCUGAGGAUGGGUCCUGUUGAGCUGGCCUCCUACUCCCACAGUCUCCUGUCUCAGCUCUGUAUUAGAGAAAGGGAGGUGCCCUCUGAGGGAGCUGAGGCCUGGGAAUUCCACAGGGGUUGGGGGAGGCAGGGGAUGAGAUAAAUGUGGGUUUGGGGACUGAGAGAUGAGAGCCUCUUAUUGGAAAGCUUUUUGGGGGGUAAGGAAUAGUAUUGCAAGACUGAUCGUCAGGGACAUAGGAGCUCAUACGUGGGCUCUGCACAACCCACACAGAGCAGAACCCCUACUUAGGAUGGUUAAAAUCGCUGCCCCAGCCCAUCUCCACUCACACCACAGCUUUUGAGUACUCGAUCCAAACUUCUCCACAAAGCAUUAAGCCCCCUUAUCACACUGGCUCUGGGAAAGGCAGGCAGAUAAGGUGAGUCUGCUUUCUCUCACCAUGGGGCCUCUGACACUCAGCUCUUGGCAGUUACUACUGAGGAACUGUAUUGCUUUGACCGUGGGGAGCCAGCCGCUCCAGCUUAGCUCGGGAUGACAUUUCCAGGGAGCAAUGCACUGCCAGCCUCCUGGGCCCAGGUCUGACCUCAGGCUGCAGCCAUCCUCCCCAGGACCCCAUCCUCCUGGUUCCCUUCUUUCUGACGGACAACAGCAGUGAUUUUUUGGGACAGUUUUGUUAACCAGAUCAGCUGGACAGUAACCUAACCUGCUCACUGCACUGGGUCCAAAGGGGCCAAGACAAUCUCCCUAGGUUUAUUACUUUAUUUUUAAUUAUAUGCAUGGGGUGAGGUGCAGGUGCCUGCAGAGGACAGAGGCAUUGGAUCCCCCCAGAGCUAGAGUUACAGGCAAUUGUGAGCUGCCUGGCAUGGGUGCUGGACAUGGAAAUCGGGUCCUUUGCAUGAGCAGUGUGCGCUCUCAGUCGAUGAGCAAUCUCUCCACCUCUACAUCACCCCCACCAUCACCCCAGCCUUGGUUCAAAUGCAGGGAAACUGAGGCCCAGCUGAGAGCAGAUGUCUCAAAGUAUCUCCUAUCUGUUCUAAGUGAAGUACUUGUCCCACAAGCCUCCUGCGGAGUCCCCCCUAGUUAUUUCACCAGACUGUCUGCCCUCUUCCUCCUCCAAGGCUUCCGGGACCAUCUCACUGCCUCCUAGGCACACGCUUUUAAGGUCUGUGUGUUCCAAAGUGAGUGAACUGAUCAACCCCUUCUGAACACUUUCAUGCUGGAUUCAGCCCAUCUCUAGUCCCCAUACUGGGGGAGGGGGGGAGUAAAAUACCUGUCUCCACAAGUUCUGGUUACAAACCAAGAGGGGCAGCCAAUAUUGGCUUGUAGUCACAGGAUGGAACCCUCACACCAACGCCCUACCACAGAUACAGAAUGAGAAACCAGACAGCCCUCCUUCAGGCACCCAUCUGGGACUCUGUCCAUCAUCCUUGUUCGUAGGCAAGCGGUACCCACUACCACAAACUCGCUCAGAGCCUGCAUGGCUGUUCCUGGGGGAGUACAUCUUGGGGUCAGGCAAGGGGGUUAGCCAUAGGCCCAUGGGUCCAACUGGAGACAGGCCAUCCUCCACCCCUAAUGUUCAGCUACAGGUGCUACUCUUUGCCCUAGGACAUUUCUCAGGUCCUCAGACUACUGUGCAGCUCCUGAGCCCUUGUCCUUAGUCCCGAGAGGCUGGAGCAUCCUUGCUGACCCCAGAGUCUCCCCAGCUUAAGCCUCUCUCUCUCUCUCUCUCUCUCUCUCUCUCUCUCUCUCUCUCCCUCCCUCUCCCCCUCUCUCUCUCUCUCUCUCUCUCUCUCUCUCUCUCUCUCUCUCUCUCUCUCAGCCAAAGAGCACCCUGUCUGCUGCUGACUCCUACUCUGGGACUCCUGUCCCAGGUAGCUCACCUGACUCAUCCCUUCUGCUUGGACCAUCACAGUUAAGUUGCCUGUGGCGGCCUAAUUCCUUAGAAUUGAGACAUUCUCUCUCAGAGGGAAGGGGAGGGCCCAUAAACACUUGGGAAAGCCGCUGAACACAACACAGGGGGCUAACUCACAAGGUCCUUCCCUGAGUUAGAUACUGGCCAGGACCUUCCCUGAGGUUAGACGUAAACAACGAUGGAGAGAGAAGACUGGCCAAGCUGCCUGCUGCCUGCAGGUCGUGCAGCUUCCCAGAGGCACCACCCUUGCUAGUGUGGGCUUUUGAUCUUACAGCCUUUGAGUUACUCACGCUCCUGUAAAUAACCCCAAUAAACUAAUUGGCUCACCAAGCCAGUCUUGA
Non-coding RNA from Rattus norvegicus (Norway rat), 3961 nucleotides. Lineage: Eukaryota; Metazoa; Chordata; Mammalia; Rodentia; Muridae. The record is from RefSeq and is a predicted model, not a curated record.